RNAcentral lists this ribosomal RNA (253 nucleotides) under uncultured bacterium. Its description in RNAcentral is "partial 16S ribosomal RNA". It matches the Rfam family "Bacterial small subunit ribosomal RNA", at positions 524 to 776 of the family's 1533-position model. The record is from RNAcentral.
UACGUAGGGGUCGAGCGUUGUCCGGAGUUACUGGGCGUAAAGCGUGUGCAGGCGGCUCAUUGCGCCCGGCGUGAAAGCCCCCGGCUCAACCGGGGAGAGUCGUCGGGGACGGGUGAGCUUGAGGGUAUCAGGGGCUGGUGGAAUUCCCGGUGUAGUGGUGAAAUGCGUAGAUAUCGCUUGGAACGCCGAAGGUGAAAACAGGCUGCUGGGGUUGCGCCGACGCUGAGACACGAAAGCCAGGGGAGCAAACGGG